RNAcentral lists this microRNA (24 nucleotides) under Monodelphis domestica (gray short-tailed opossum). RNAcentral describes it as "mdo-miR-7326-3p". The record is from miRBase by way of RNAcentral. Lineage: Eukaryota; Metazoa; Chordata; Mammalia; Didelphimorphia; Didelphidae.
ACUCAGCUCAUCAUCUCUCUAGGG